Molecule: ribosomal RNA, 515 nt
Filed under: uncultured bacterium
Lineage: Bacteria
Description: partial 16S ribosomal RNA
Rfam family: Bacterial small subunit ribosomal RNA
Source: RNAcentral
GAUGAACGCUGGCGGCGUGCCUAAUACAUGCAAGUCGAGCGAAUGGAUUAAGAGCUUGCUCUUAUGAAGUUAGCGGCGGACGGGUGAGUAACACGUGGGUAACCUGCCCAUAAGACUGGGAUAACUCCGGGAAACCGGGGCUAAUACCGGAUAACAUUUUGAACCGCAUGGUUCGAAAUUGAAAGGCGGCUUCGGCUGUCACUUAUGGAUGGACCCGCGUCGCAUUAGCUAGUUGGUGAGGUAACGGCUCACCAAGGCAACGAUGCGUAGCCGACAUGAGAGGGUGAUCAGCCACACGGGGACUGAGACACGGCCCAGACUCCUACGGGAGGCAGCAGUAGGGAAUCUUCCGCAAUGGACGAAAGUCUGACGGAGCAACGCCGCGUGAGUGAUGAAGGCUUUCGGGUCGUAAAACUCUGUUGUUAGGGAAGAACAAGUGCUAGUUGAAUAAGCUGGCACCUUGACGGUACCUAACCAGAAAGCCACGGCUAACUACGUGCCAGCCGCCGCGGUAA